UACGUAGGGUCCGAGCGUUGUCCGGAGUUACUGGGCGUAAAGCGCGCGCAGGCGGCCUCGCGCGCCCGACGUGAAAGCCCCCGGCUUAACCGGGGAGGGUCGUUGGGGACGGCGGGGCUUGAGGGCGGGAGAGGGUGGUGGAAUUCCCGGUGUAGUGGUGAAAUGCGUAGAGAUCGGGAGGAACACCCGUGGCGAAGGCGGCCACCUGGGCCGACCCUGACGCUGAGGCGCGAAAGCGUGGGGAGCGAACAGG
RNAcentral lists this ribosomal RNA (253 nucleotides) under uncultured bacterium. Its description in RNAcentral is "partial 16S ribosomal RNA". It matches the Rfam family "Bacterial small subunit ribosomal RNA", at positions 524 to 776 of the family's 1533-position model. The record is from RNAcentral.